GUAUGUACAUUGAAAGAGACAGAGGCUGGAUCAAAGUGAGAGGAAGACUGAACUUGUCUUUGCUUCUCAUCAUUGAGGACCAUAUUAUAAACAUUGCCAAGAGAAGGAGGAGGCUGCAUUAUCAAAAGAUUACUCCUGACCCCCAUAUAAGCUUCAUUCAGACCCAUUAAAAACUGAAAGACCUAAUUAUCAUCACAUUCCUGAACUAUACCAUCUUUUGCAGCACAUACACACCUUAAACCAUGAUUAGCACACGUAGAAUCAAGUUCAUCCCACAGACCUUUUAGCUUGUUGAAAUAAGAAGAUAUAUCUAAGGACCCUUGAGAGGUAUGGGACAACUCUCUUUUCAGUUCAAAAAUUUUGGUCCUAUUUGCAGUGCCAUAUCUGGUCUGGAGUUGGGACCAUAUGCUCUGUGCAGUGUCAUAGUACUGCACAAAUUCAGCAAUUGCAGGGGAAAUGGAAGCAGUCAACCAAGAAAUCACCAUGUUGUUGCACCUAUCCCACAACCUCUGUUGAGCCACAUUGGUGGUAGGUCGGGAGUAUGUGCCAUCAACAAAACUGAUUUUGUUUUUGGCUGAUAAGGAAACAGUCAUUUUACGUCUCCCGCCCGCAUAAAAACUACCUGAGAAGGUAGUGGGAACGAGAGAUACCCCAGGGACAUCAGAAGAAUAUACAAAAAGGGGACUGGAAGAGUCUAGAGAAGGGGAGGCACCAGUACUUGUGUUAGAACAGAAGAAUAUACAAAAAGGGGACUGGAAGAGUCUAGAGAAGAGGAGGCACCAGUACUUGUGUUAGAAGCCAUAGUCAAUUAACCGGCUUAAAUGAGCAACUUUUUCAACAAACAGAAUACAACCAAAACAGGUAUUCACAUACAACAACCAACAAACA
This 888-nucleotide long non-coding RNA is filed under the name Nicotiana benthamiana. Its description in RNAcentral is "long non-coding RNA (NBEN_LNC014096)". The record is from RNAcentral. Lineage: Eukaryota; Viridiplantae; Streptophyta; Magnoliopsida; Solanales; Solanaceae.